This 73-nucleotide transfer RNA is filed under the name Ailuropoda melanoleuca (giant panda). It matches the Rfam family "tRNA". Rfam says of the family: Transfer RNA (tRNA) molecules are approximately 80 nucleotides in length. Their secondary structure includes four short double-helical elements and three loops (D, anti-codon, and T loops). Lineage: Eukaryota; Metazoa; Chordata; Mammalia; Carnivora; Ursidae. The record is from Rfam by way of RNAcentral.
ACCUGGCUGGCUCAGUCAGUAGAGCAUGAGAUGUUUGAUCUCAGGAUUGUGGGUUUGAACCCCACAUUGGGCA